RNAcentral lists this small RNA (589 nucleotides) under Pan troglodytes (chimpanzee). Its description in RNAcentral is "retained intron". The record is from RNAcentral. Lineage: Eukaryota; Metazoa; Chordata; Mammalia; Primates; Hominidae.
CUUAAUUUUUUUUUCGAGUGGCAUAUAAUAUCCUGAUUGUAUGCUAAAUAUAUUUUCCUUUUUUAAUUAGGGCUUGAAAAAGCUUGGCCAGUCUAUAGAGUCAUCAUACUCCAGUAUACAAAAAUUGGUCAUAAGUCAUUUACAGAGUGGCUCGGAGUCUUUAUUAUACCAUUUGAGUGAAUUGAAAGGAAUGGCUUCAUGGAAGCAAAAAUAUGAACCUCUUGGACUAGAUGCUGCAGGAAUCGAAGAAGCUAUAACUGCUGUGGGUUCUUUUAUACUCAAGGCAAAUGAACUUCUUCAAGUUAUAGAUAGUAGUAUGAAAAACUUCAAAGCAUUUUUUCGGUGGCUUUAUGUGGCAAUGUUGAGAAUGACAGAAGACCAUGUGCUUCCCGAGCUGAAUAAGAUGACUCAGAAAGAUAUCACAUUUGUUGCUGAAUUUCUUACUGAACAUUUCAAUGAGGCUCCAGACCUUUAUAAUCGAAAAGGAAAAUACUUUAACGUUGAAAGAGUUGGUCAGUACUUGAAAGAUGAAGAUGAUGAUCUUGUGUCACCCCCUAACACAGAAGGAAAUCAGUGGUAUGACUUUCUU